GUAGCCAGCCCACAGGCCUACAGCAAGCCACAGGCUCACAGCCAGCAAGCCACAGCCUGCCAGCCGCAGUCAGCAAGCCCACAGCCUGCCAGCCGCAGCCAGCAAGCCCACAGACUGCCAGCCAGCAACAGUAAUUAAGGUAAGAGGAGCCAACUUGGCUUAGGUAUCAGCGAGCUAUGUUGUGUUGCUAUAUUGUGAAUAGGAACCAGAGUGUUG
Non-coding RNA from Pelobates cultripes (western spadefoot toad), 216 nucleotides. The record is from the annotation of a GenBank genome assembly. Lineage: Eukaryota; Metazoa; Chordata; Amphibia; Anura; Pelobatidae.